Molecule: ribosomal RNA, 253 nt
Filed under: uncultured bacterium
Lineage: Bacteria
Description: partial 16S ribosomal RNA
Rfam family: Bacterial small subunit ribosomal RNA
Source: RNAcentral
UACGUAGGGUGCAAGCGUUGUCCGGAAUUAUUGGGCGUAAAGAGCUCGUAGGCGGUUUGUCGCGUCUGCUGUGAAAACCGGAGGCUCAACCUCCGGCCUGCAGUGGGUACGGGCAGACUAGAGUGCGGUAGGGGAGAUUGGAAUUCCUGGUGUAGCGGUGGAAUGCGCAGAUAUCAGGAAGAACACCCGUGGCGAAGGCGGCUCUCUGGGACGGUACUGACGCUGAGACGCGAAAGCGUGGGGAGCGAACAGG